Molecule: ribosomal RNA, 510 nt
Filed under: uncultured bacterium
Lineage: Bacteria
Description: partial 16S ribosomal RNA
Rfam family: Bacterial small subunit ribosomal RNA
Source: RNAcentral
GACGAACGCUGGCGGCGUGCUUAACACAUGCAAGUCGAACGAAGAGCGAUGGAAGCUUGCUUCUCUCAAUCUUAGUGGCGAACGGGUGAGUAACGCGUAAUCAACCUGCCCUUCAGAGGGGGACAACAGUUGGAAACGACUGCUAAUACCGCAUACGAUCUAACCUCGGCAUCGAGGAUGGAUGAAAGGUGGCCUCUAUUUAUAAGCUAUCACUGAAGGAGGGGAUUGCGUCUGAUUAGCUAGUUGGAGGGGUAACGGCCCACCAAGGCGAUGAUCAGUAGCCGGUCUGAGAGGAUGAACGGCCACAUUGGGACUGAGACACGGCCCAGACUCCUACGGGAGGCAGCAGUGGGGAAUCUUCCGCAAUGGACGAAAGUCUGACGGAGCAACGCCGCGUGAGUGAUGACGGCCUUCGGGUUGUAAAGCUCUGUUAAUCGGGACGAAAGGCCUUCUUGCGAAUAGUUAGAAGGAUUGACGGUACCGGAAUAGAAAGCCACGGCUAACUACGUG